CCUACGGGAGGCAGCAGUGGGGGAUAUUGCACAAUGGGGGGAACCCUGAUGCAGCGACGCCGCGUGGGUGAAGGAGCGUUUCGGCGCGUAAAGCCCUAUCGGCAGGGAAGAAGGAGGACGGUACCUGACUAAGAAGCCCCGGCCAACUCCGUGCCAGCAGCCGCGGUAAUACGCGGGGGGCAAGCGUUAUCCGGUUUUACUGGGUGUAAAGGGGGCGCAGACGGCAGCGAAAGCCAGGGGUGAAAGCCCGGGGCCCAACCCCGGGACUGCUCUUGAAACUGCGGGGCUGGGGUGCAGGAGGGGCAGGCGGAAUUCCUGGUGUGGCGGGGAA
This 331-nucleotide ribosomal RNA is filed under the name uncultured bacterium. Its description in RNAcentral is "partial 16S ribosomal RNA". It matches the Rfam family "Bacterial small subunit ribosomal RNA", at positions 338 to 685 of the family's 1533-position model. The record is from RNAcentral.